This 128-nucleotide transfer RNA is filed under the name Candidatus Jettenia asiatica. RNAcentral describes it as "tRNA-Ala". The stretch from base 55 to 127 matches the Rfam family "tRNA". Rfam says of the family: Transfer RNA (tRNA) molecules are approximately 80 nucleotides in length. Their secondary structure includes four short double-helical elements and three loops (D, anti-codon, and T loops). Further hydrogen bonds mediate the characteristic L-shaped molecular structure. tRNAs have two regions of fundamental functional importance: the anti-codon, which is responsible for specific mRNA codon recognition, and the 3' end, to which the tRNAs corresponding amino acid is attached (by aminoacyl-tRNA synthetases). tRNAs cope with the degeneracy of the genetic code in two manners: having more than one tRNA (with a specific anti-codon) for a particular amino acid; and 'wobble' base-pairing, i.e. permitting non-standard base-pairing at the 3rd anti-codon position. Lineage: Bacteria; Pseudomonadati; Planctomycetota; Candidatus Brocadiia; Candidatus Brocadiales; Candidatus Brocadiaceae. The record is from RNAcentral.
CGAAUCCACUUAGGCCCACCACUUCCGAUUAUGAUGUAUGGAGUUUUGGAAGCGGGGGAUGUAGCUCAAUUGGGAGAGCGCUGCCCUUGCAAGGCAGAGGUUGGCGGUUCGAUCCCGCUCAUCUCCAC